GAGAUACGCGCGGACCGACUUUUCCGUCUGCUGGGAAAUGAAAAAGAGAAGCCAUCGCGGCCUCCGUCCUUCCCAAUUCUCAUUCCGAUAACUGAUUUUCUUCAUUAAAGAUGGCUAGGGCACCGAUAACCGCCGCCGGAUCAUUAACCUCCUCCUCCCCUUCGCUCACCACCACCGUCAUCUUGGCCAAUGGUUCCUCUUCCUCUCAGCCCCCCGAAACCCUAGUGCUCCGUCUCAAUCGGAAGAAGAAAAAGGUCUCAUGGAAGGAAGGGACCGUCGACAACGAGUUCAUGCAGAAAAAGAGUUCCAAGAAGUGCUGUAUAUUCCACAAGCAGAAACCCUUUGACGAGGACGGCAGCGAUCAGGAGGAUGACGAUAAUCACCACCAUGGAAAUGGAAACCCUUGUUGCUCUAGGGGAAACGGCGGAGAUGGUUCCAGUAGAGUCAGUUGAUAGUCCGGAUUCAGAUGUAAAGCUGAUGUUGGAAAGGUUACUUGAUUCGCGCGUGUGUGUGUUUCUUUUUUCUUUAAAUCGGGUUGAGUGUCAGAUUAUCUAAUUAUACUUAAUUUUUUUGUCGAAGUAACUGAUAAAAUUUGCUGCUCGACGAAUGAUUCGAAUCUUUAUAGGUGGAUGUAUAUUGGCCACCGUCUUACCAAAUGAAAGUUUGC
This 667-nucleotide unclassified non-coding RNA is filed under the name Hevea brasiliensis (rubber tree). The record is from RNAcentral. Lineage: Eukaryota; Viridiplantae; Streptophyta; Magnoliopsida; Malpighiales; Euphorbiaceae.